AUGCAUGUCUAAGUAUAAGCAAUUAUACAGCGAAACUGCGAAUGGCUCAUUAAAUCAGUUAUCGUUUAUUUGAUAGUACCUUACUACAUGGAUAACCGUGGUAAUUCUAGAGCUAAUACAUGCUGAAAAUCCCGACUUCGGAAGGGAUGUAUUUAUUAGAUUAAAAACCAAUGCCCUUCGGGGCUCUCUGGUGAUUCAUAAUAACUUCUCGAAUCGCACGGCCUUGCGCCGGCGAUGGUUCAUUCAAAUUUCUGCCCUAUCAACUUUCGACGGCUGGGUCUUGGCCAGCCGUGGUGACAACGGGUAACGGAGGGUUAGGGCUCGACCCCGGAGAAGGAGCCUGAGAAACGGCUACUACAUCUAAGGAAGGCAGCAGGCGCGCAAAUUACCCAAUCCCGACACGGGGAGGUAGUGACAAUAAAUACUGAUACAGGGCUCUUUUGGGUCUUGUAAUUGGAAUGAGUACAAUUUAAAUCUCUUAACGAGGAACAAUUGGAGGGCAAGUCUGGUGCCAGCAGCCGCGGUAAUUCCAGCUCCAAUAGCGUAUAUUAAAGUUGUUGAGGUUAAAAAGCUCGUAGUUGAACCUUGGGCCUAGCCGGCCGGUCCGCCUCACCGCGUGCACUGGCUCGGCUGGGUCUUUCCUUCUGGAGAACCGCAUGUCCUUCACUGGGCGUGUCGGGGAACCAGGACUUUUACUCUGAACAAAUUAGAUCGCUUAAAGAAGGCCUAUGCUCGAAUACAUUAGCAUGGAAUAAUAGAAUAGGACGUGUGGUUCUAUUUUGUUGGUUUCUAGGACCGCCGUAAUGAUUAAUAGGGACAGUCGGGGGCAUCAGUAUUCAAUUGUCAGAGGUGAAAUUCUUGGAUUUAUUGAAGACUAACUACUGCGAAAGCAUUUGCCAAGGAUGUUUUCAUUAAUCAGGAACGAAAGUUAGGGGAUCGAAGACGAUCAGAUACCGUCGUAGUCUUAACCAUAAACUAUG
This 980-nucleotide ribosomal RNA is filed under the name Guanomyces polythrix. Its description in RNAcentral is "SSU rRNA". It matches the Rfam family "Eukaryotic small subunit ribosomal RNA", at positions 51 to 1041 of the family's 1831-position model. Lineage: Eukaryota; Fungi; Ascomycota; Sordariomycetes; Sordariales. The record is from RNAcentral.